This 468-nucleotide ribosomal RNA is filed under the name uncultured bacterium. RNAcentral describes it as "partial 16S ribosomal RNA". It matches the Rfam family "Bacterial small subunit ribosomal RNA", at positions 28 to 507 of the family's 1533-position model. The record is from RNAcentral.
GACGAACGCUGGCGGCGUGCUUAACACAUGCAAGUCGAACGGAAAGGCCCUGCUUUUGUGGGGUGCUCGAGUGGCGAACGGGUGAGUAACACGUGAGUAACCUGCCCUUGACUUUGGGAUAACUUCAGGAAACUGGGGCUAAUACCGGAUAGGAGCUCCUGCUGCACGGUGGGGGUUGGAAAGUUUCGGCGGUUGGGGAUGGACUCGCGGCUUAUCAGCUUGUUGGUGGGGUAGUGGCUUACCAAGGCUUUGACGGGUAGCCGGCCUGAGAGGGUGACCGGCCACAUUGGGACUGAGAUACGGCCCAGACUGCUACGGGAGGCAGCAGUGGGGAAUAUUGCACAAUGGGCGGAAGCCUGAUGCAGCAACGCCGCGUGCGGGAUGACGGCCUUCGGGUUGUAAACCGCUUUCGCCUGUGACGAAGCGUGAGUGACGGUAAUGGGUAAAGAAGCACCGGCUAACUACGUG